CCGUUGCCGGCGACCGGCGCACGGGUGAGUAACACGUAUGCAACCUGCCCGUGGCAGGGGGAUAAGCGGGGGAAACCCCGUCUAAUACCGCGUAACGCGGCCUAGGGACAUCCCAAGGCCGCCAAAGGGAGCAAUCCCGGCCACGGAUGGGCAUGCGGCGCAUUAGCUAGUCGGCGGGGUAACGGCCCACCGAGGCGACGAUGCGUAGGGGUUCUGAGAGGAAGGCCCCCCACACUGGUACUGAGACACGGACCAAACUCCUACGGAAGGCAGCAG
This 276-nucleotide ribosomal RNA is filed under the name uncultured bacterium. Its description in RNAcentral is "partial 16S ribosomal RNA". It matches the Rfam family "Bacterial small subunit ribosomal RNA", at positions 82 to 354 of the family's 1533-position model. The record is from RNAcentral.